GGCAACCCGCUGGGAUCCCCUUCUACAUUGUAGAAGCUUUGUUCUUUAGCUCUUUGCGACAAAUCUUGCUACUGCUCACUCUUUGGGUCCACGCUGCUUUUAUGAGCUGUAACACUCACCUCGAAGGUCUGCAGCUUCACUCCUGAAGCCAGCGAGACCACGAGCCCACUGGGAGGGACAAACAACUCCAGACACGCUGCUUUAAGAGCUAUAACACUCACCGCGAAGGUCUGCAGCUUCACUCCUGAGCCAGCGAGACCACGAUCCCACCAGAAGGAAGAAACUCUGAACACAUCCGAACAUCAGAAGGAACAAACUCCAGACACGCUACCUUAAAAGCUGUAACACUCACCGCCGAGGGUCGGCGGCUUCAUUCUUGAAGUCAGUGGGACCAAGAACCCACCAACUCCGGACACAUAGCUCACUGACUGACAGGCAGCCACUCUCCAAAGAGUCCCUGAACCAUGGUCUUGAGCUCUCAGUGCCAGAGACGGUGAAUAAUGCCCAGUGGGAUGCUCCAGAGGAGGCGCUGUGGACGACUCGGGCCGAUGGGCGAGUGCGCCUGCGCAUAGACCCCAGCUGCCCACAGCUUCCCUACAC
This 600-nucleotide small RNA is filed under the name Pongo abelii (Sumatran orangutan). RNAcentral's name for it is "processed transcript". The record is from RNAcentral. Lineage: Eukaryota; Metazoa; Chordata; Mammalia; Primates; Hominidae.